AGUCGAACGGUAACAUGAGAGCUUGCUCUUGAUGACGAGUGGCGCACGGGUGCGUAACGCGUAUGCAACUUACCCCAAACUGGAGGAUAGCCUUUAGAAAUGAAGAAUAAUACUCCAUAGUAUUCCGAGAAGGCAUCUUCUUGGUCUUAAAGCUUCGGCGGUUUGGGAUAGGCAUGCGUUCUAUUAGUUAGUUGGUAAGGUAACGGCUUACCAAGACCACGAUAGAUAGGGGGCCUGAGAGGGUUAUCCCCCACACUGGUACUGAGACACGGACCAGACUCCUGCGGGAGGCAGCAGUGAGGAAUAUUCCACAAUGGACGAAAGUCUGAUGGAGCCAUGCCGCGUGCAGGAUGAAUGCCCUAUGGGUUGUAAACUGCUUUUAUAUAGGAAGAACAUUUUCUACGUGUAGAGAACUGACGGUACUAUAAGAAUAAGGACCGGCUAACUCCGUGCCAGCAGCCGCGGUAAUACGGAGGGUCCAAGCGUUAUCCGGAUUUAUUGGGUUUAAAGGGUCCGUAGGCGGGAAAAUAAGUCAGUGGUGAAAGCCUACAGCUCAACUGUAGAACUGCCAUUGAAACUGUUUUUCUUGAAUUUAGAUGAAGUGGGCGGAAUAUAUCAUGUAGCGGUGAAAUGCAUAGAUAUGAUAUAGAACACCGAUUGCGAAGGCAGCUCACUAAACUAAUAUUGACGCUGAGGGACGAAAGCGUGGGGAGCGAACAGGAUUAGAUACCCUGGUAGUCCACGCCGUAAACGAUGAUUACUCGGUGCUAGCGAUAUACUGUUAGUGCCUAAGCGAAAGCGAUAAGUAAUCCACCUGGGGAGUACGGUCGCAAGAUUGAAACUCAAAGGAAUUGAC
This 856-nucleotide ribosomal RNA is filed under the name uncultured Flavobacterium sp. Its description in RNAcentral is "bacterial SSU rRNA". It matches the Rfam family "Bacterial small subunit ribosomal RNA", at positions 60 to 914 of the family's 1533-position model. The record is from RNAcentral. Lineage: Bacteria; Pseudomonadati; Bacteroidota; Flavobacteriia; Flavobacteriales; Flavobacteriaceae.